AGGGUUGUAGCUCAGUGGUAGAGCAUUUGCCUCGCAUGCUGAGGUCCUGGGUUCAAUCCUCAGCACCACAU
RNAcentral lists this transfer RNA (71 nucleotides) under Ictidomys tridecemlineatus (thirteen-lined ground squirrel). RNAcentral describes it as "Spermophilus tridecemlineatus (thirteen-lined ground squirrel) tRNA". It matches the Rfam family "tRNA". Rfam says of the family: Transfer RNA (tRNA) molecules are approximately 80 nucleotides in length. Lineage: Eukaryota; Metazoa; Chordata; Mammalia; Rodentia; Sciuridae. The record is from Rfam by way of RNAcentral.